RNAcentral lists this ribosomal RNA (459 nucleotides) under uncultured bacterium. Its description in RNAcentral is "partial 16S ribosomal RNA". It matches the Rfam family "Bacterial small subunit ribosomal RNA", at positions 338 to 795 of the family's 1533-position model. The record is from RNAcentral.
CCUACGGGGGGCAGCAGUGAGGAAUAUUGGUCAAUGGGCAUAAGCCUGAACCAGCCAAGUCGCGUGAGGGAUGAAGGUUCUAUGGAUCGUAAACCUCUUUUAUAAGGGAAUAAAGUGUGGGACGUGUCCUAUUUUGUAUGUACCUUAUGAAUAAGGAUCGGCAAAUACCGUGCCGGCAGCCGCGGUAAUACGGAGGAUCCGAGCGUUAUCCGGAUUUAUUGGGUUUAAGGGGUUGGUAGGUGGCCUUUUAAGUCAGCGGUGAAAGUCUGUGCUCAACCAUAGAAUUGCCGUUGAAACUGGGGGGCUUGAGUGUGUAUGAGGCAGGCGGAAUGCGUGGUGUAGCGGUGAAAUGCUUAGAUAUCACGCAGAACCCCAAUUGCGAAGGCAGCCUGCCAAGCCAUGACUGACGCUGAUGCACGAAAGCGUGGGGAUCAAACAGGAUUAGAUACCCUUGUAGUC